RNAcentral lists this transfer RNA (67 nucleotides) under Artibeus hartii (little fruit-eating bat). RNAcentral describes it as "tRNA-Asp". Lineage: Eukaryota; Metazoa; Chordata; Mammalia; Chiroptera; Phyllostomidae. The record is from RNAcentral.
GAGAUAUUAGUAAAACUUACAUGACCUCGUCAAGGUCAAAUUAUGGGUGAAACCCCCAUAUAUCUCU